AUACGAAGGGGGCAAGCGUUGUUCGGAAUAACUGGGCGUAAAGCGCACGUAGGCGGAAUGUUAAGUUAGAGGUGAAAUCCCAGGGCUCAACCCUGGAACGGCCUUUAAUACUGGCAAUCUAGAGACCGAGAGAGGUGAGUGGAAUUCCGAGUGUAGAGGUGAAAUUCGUAGAUAUUUGGAGGAACACCAGUGGCGAAGGCGGCUCACUGGCUCGAUACUGACGCUGAGGUGCGAAAGCAUGGGGAGCAAACAGGAUUAGAAACCCUAGUAGUCC
RNAcentral lists this ribosomal RNA (274 nucleotides) under uncultured bacterium. RNAcentral's name for it is "partial 16S ribosomal RNA". It matches the Rfam family "Bacterial small subunit ribosomal RNA", at positions 523 to 796 of the family's 1533-position model. The record is from RNAcentral.